This 1361-nucleotide ribosomal RNA is filed under the name Dolichovespula xanthicincta. RNAcentral's name for it is "16S ribosomal RNA". The record is from RNAcentral. Lineage: Eukaryota; Metazoa; Arthropoda; Insecta; Hymenoptera; Vespidae.
AAAAUAAAUAUAGUUUGAUUAUUAGAUUUAUUAAUUAAUUAAAGUAAUAAAAAAAUUUAAAGUUAAAGUAAUAAUUUAGAAUAAAUUAUUUUUAUAUUAAAGAUAGUAAUGAAAAUGAAUAAUUUUAAAAGUUAAAAAAGUAAAUUUAAUUGAUUGUACCUUUUGUAUCAGGGUUAAUUAAAUAAAAUAUUUUUAUAAAAAUAUAUCUCGAAUUUAAAAUAUUUAAUUAAAAAUUUUAGUUAAUGUAGAAAUAUUAUUAAUAAUUUUUAGUUAGAAGUGAAAUGUUAAACGAUUUUAAAUAUAUCUAGUUUUUUUAGAAUUAAAUAUAAUUUAGCUUUUAAUUUAUAUAAAUUAAUUUUAUUUAUUUAAAUAUAAAAUUAAAAAGUAAAUAUUUUUGGGAUAAACUAGAAAUAUAAAAAAUAAUAAAAUUUAAUUUUAAGUUAUAAAUAUUCAUAAAAUUUGAAUUUUUUUUAAAAAAUGUUAUAAUUUAUAAUUAUUUAAUUUAGAUUUAAAAUUUUAUUUUUAUUAAUAUAAAAAAAAAUUAUUUAAUUAUUUUAUAAUGGAUAUAAUGAUUAAAUUAGUAAAUUAUUUAUGUAAAAUUAAUUAAUAAUAAGAGUUUAUUUUAAGGAAUUCGACAAAUAUUAUGUUAAUAAAUUAAAUUAAUAUAUUUAUAUUCACCUGUUUAUCAAAAACAUGUCUUGUUGUUAAUAAUAAUAAGUCUAUUCUGCCCAUUGAUUAAUAUUAAAAGGCUGCAGUAUACUGACUGUACAAAGGUAGCAUAAUCAAUUGUUUUUUAAUUGAAAACUUGUAUGAAAGAAUGAAUGAAAUAUAAAUUGUCUCAAAAUUAAAAUAUUGAAUUUAAAUUAAGAGUUAAAAUGCUUUUAUUUAAUUAUAAGACGAUAAGACCCUAUAGAAUUUAAUAAAUUAUAUUUUUUAAAGAUUAUAUGUUUUAAAAUAUUUAAUAAAUAUUUAUAUUUUAUUGGGAGGAUAAUUAAAUUAAUUUAACUUUAAAAAAUAUAUAAACAUUAAUUAAUGAAUAUUUGAUUAUUAUUAUAAUUAUUAGAAUAAAUUACCUUAGGGAUAACAGCGUAAUAAUUUUGGAGAGUUCAUAUUGAUAAAAUUGUUUGCGACCUCGAUGUUGAAUUAUGAUAAAAAUUAAAUGGAGAAAUUUAAAAUUUUAGUCUGUUCGACUAUUAAAAUCAUACAUGAUUUGAGUUCAGAUCGGUGUAAGCCAGAUCGGUUUCUAUCUAUAAUUAUAUAAUUAUUUUAUUGUACGAAAGGACUUAAAAUAAUAAAUAUUUUAUUAGGUUAAUUAAAAUUUUAAUUAAUUAAAUUGAAUAAAAUUAAUAAGUUGAAUUAAA